GAACGCACCUUGCGCCCCUUGGCUAUUCCGAAGGGCAUGCCUGUUUGAGUAUCAUGAACACCUCAACUCUCGUGGUUUGCCCAUGAUGAGCUUGGACUUUGGGGGUCUUGCUGGCCUGUGGUUGGCUCCUCUCAAAUGAAUCAGCUUGCCAGUGUUUGGUGGCAUCACAGGUGUGAUAACUAUCUACGCUUGUGGUUUCCCACCAGGUAACCUUCAGUGAUGGAGGUUCGCUGGGGCUCAUAAAUGUCCCUCCACAGUGAGGACAGCUUUUGAACGUUUGAUCUCAAAUCAGGUAGGACUACCCGCUGAACUUAAG
This 316-nucleotide unclassified non-coding RNA is filed under the name uncultured Tomentella. RNAcentral describes it as "sequence contains 5.8S rRNA gene". The record is from RNAcentral. Lineage: Eukaryota; Fungi; Basidiomycota; Agaricomycetes; Thelephorales; Thelephoraceae.